CCUACGGGUGGCACCAGUGGGGAAUCUUGCGCAAUGGGCGAAAGCCUGACGCAGCCAUGCCGCGUGAAUGAUGAAGGUCUUAGGAUUGUAAAAUUCUUUCACCGGGGACGAUAAUGACGGUACCCGGAGAAGAAGCCCCGGCUAACUUCGUGCCAGCAGCCGCGGUAAUACGAAGGGGGCUAGCGUUGCUCGGAAUUACUGGGCGUAAAGGGAGCGUAGGCGGACAUUUAAGUCAGGGGUGAAAUCCCGGGGCUCAACCUCGGAAUUGCCUUUGAUACUGGGUGUCUUGAGUAUGAGAGAGGUGUGUGGAACUCCGAGUGUAGAGGUGAAAUUCGUAGAUAUUCGGAAGAACACCAGUGGCGAAGGCGACACACUGGCUCAUUACUGACGCUGAGGCUCGAAAGCGUGGGGAGCAAACAGGAUUAGAUACCCGUGUAGUC
RNAcentral lists this ribosomal RNA (440 nucleotides) under uncultured bacterium. RNAcentral describes it as "bacterial SSU rRNA". It matches the Rfam family "Bacterial small subunit ribosomal RNA", at positions 338 to 795 of the family's 1533-position model. The record is from RNAcentral.